RNAcentral lists this long non-coding RNA (1281 nucleotides) under Pan troglodytes (chimpanzee). RNAcentral describes it as "lincRNA". The record is from RNAcentral. Lineage: Eukaryota; Metazoa; Chordata; Mammalia; Primates; Hominidae.
UCAAAGUGGUGGGAUAACAAAAGUUUUUUUUUGCUUUUUAAAAAAAUUCAGUGUUAGCAAGAGAAUGAUAAGUUUGGGAGCCUCAUAUGAUGCUUUAGAAGUGUAAAUUGCCUUUCUGAUAAGCAGCUAAGCAAGCUAUAUCAGGAAUGUAGCUUUUUGGUUGUUUUUUGAGAUGGUCUUGCGUUGUUGCCCAGGCUUUGAGUGCAGUGGCAUGAUCAUGGCUCACUGCAGCCUCAACCUCCCUGACUCAAGCGAUCCUCCCACCUCAGCCUCCCAGGUAGCUGCGACUACAGGCACGCACCACUCCACUCGGCUAAUUUUUUAUUUUUUAUUUUUGUAGAGACAGGGUCUUCCUAUGUUGCCCAGGCCAGUCUCUGAACUCCUGGGCUCAAGUGAUCCUCCUGCCUUGGCUCACACCUAUAAUCCCAGCCUCCCAAGUAGCUGGGACUACAAGGCACCUACUGCUGCACUUAGCUUUAUCUUUUAACUCAUAUUUUAAAUGUCUUCUACAAGGCACAGAAAAAUAAGUAGUUGUGUUCAUUUUUAAGUAAAUAGUAGUAAACAGUUUCAAAUGCUGUUUGAGAUGUUAAUUAAGGCACACACUUAGACUAGUCCAUUUGAUUUGAAAAUUAGGAUUUUAUUUGUGCUUUUUGUUAAUUACUGGCUUUUAAAAGAUCAGUAGUGGGGCAGAAACUAGACUAGUGGGUUGAAGGGUGAACAGGAAAUAAGUAAUAUUCUUUCAAGGAGCUUGACUGAAAAGGAGACAGUGGUAGUUUGAAGAUAUUGCUGUUUUUAAGAUAAAAAUGAUUUCAGCACUUUAAAAAGUUGGAAAUGAUCAAUGAAUCAAGGAUCAUCAAGAAAGAGGCAAGAGGAAGUAAGAUUAAGCACAAAGAGUAUCAACUGAUAGGUGGCAUUUCAAGGAACUUCAGGUGUUGAAUAUCUAAAGCACCAAAUGCGUGUGGACAGCAGUGAAGAUAAAGCUGGAAAUGCGCUGGCAGACCAACGUGAUGAGCUCUGUAGGCGGUGGACAAAGACUAUGAGCAAGCCAUUUAGGCAAACAUCUGAAGAAUUUAAAAAUCAAAGGCAAACAAAUAGGACUGUUUCAUUAAGAUCACUUGCAUUCUAACAGGUUAUGAUGAAUGGAAAGCUGAUGGUUCCUGGUUGGAAAAAAGAUAAUUUUCAAUUUGGACAUGUCACAUUUGAGAUGCAGUUGACACACCCAAGAUACAUAAUAUAUUGUCUUUCAAAAUUCAGAAACCUAAUAAACCAUGAUCUUAAUAA